GUGCGCACUGCGCAUGAUAUCAUGGUCAUGGAGUGGAUGGGGGGCAGGGCCGAUACUGAUCUCGAUUGUCACCCCCGAUGUACGUGCAGGAGGAAGAAGCGGACGGGGGAACGGGGCCCCGUUCCAUUACAACCGCCUCCUUGUAGCCGCUAUUAACCCUCCGUGCUCCUACGAGAAUCAGCCAGAGAGAGAGUGAGAUGGAGACCCACGUCAUCACUCGCUUCAACACAUUCAUGGUGGAAAGUUGGUGCUAAAAAUACGGCAUAAGCUGGUGUUUAUAUAAACGGUAACCAUUUCCUGCAUGGAAGGUUUCAGCAGCCAUCCGCCAGUCGUUGAAAAGAUUCUACUUCACUAUCAGUCCAAUCCCACAAACUAUGAUUGGACCACCGCUUUUCACAGAUUAAUUUAAUAUUUGUAAAAGGACUGAAAACAGAAAGUUACAGAUGUGGAUGGCACUUAUUGCCACGUCAAUAUCGAUUUCAAUCCUAUCCCUUCGAGUCUUGGUUAAAUAUAUCUUACCUCUCAAAAUUUCAAUGUACUCCCUUAUUUAGAAAAAUAAUAAUAAUAAUAAUAAUUUAACCCCUCCCUCAUGACUUGUCUACUUGUCUACUUGUCUUUCAUUUAUUAUUGGCUCUCUUUAUCAAAUUUUAAGAUUACCAUUUUUUCCUAAACCAUAAUCCCAUUUCAAAUUUUUAAGCUCACCAUAUUUUUUUCUACAAGCAUAAAUAUGAGAGCAGACCAAACCCUCUGCUCGACCUUUAAUGUUAUGGUACAAAAUAAAUAUUAACUUAAAAUUUUUACGUGUAUGUGUUUCUAGAAAACACUUAUAGUGUAAAAAUUGUUUCAAGAGAAAAAUUAUAAGUUCGACAAAACUUGAAAAACACUUUUAGAUUAUAUUUUAAAUUUGUUGUAUAUGGAUUAUAAUUGUUAAAAAUAAUUAACCGUUGAAAGUAAAUUUAGCGAUUAUUAAAUUAGAGGAGAUGAUUAUUUAUAUUUGUUUAAAUUUAUCAUUAUUUAGAGAGAGGGUGAAUUUAAGUCACACAAAUCCAAGUUAAGAACAAAAGUUUUUAUUAUUUAGAGGAGAUUAUUAAUUUAUUGAAUGGUUAUUUAUUUAAAUUAAAUUAUUUAUUUAUUGAGAUUUUACAAUAUUAAAAUGGAGAUUGAAAUGGAGAGUCAUAAAUUUAUGGUAUUAAUAAGUUUAUUACUUGAAUUAUAAAUUAUUUUUAAAAAUUAUUAGACUUGAUAAUGAAUUUAUCUUAUUUAAUUUAAGAUUUAUUUGCUUAGUGAAAAAACAAUCAAGAAAUAAUAAUGUUAUAUAGAAGAAAAAAAUUAGAGUUGUUUUAAAUCAAUUUUUGUUCAUAAAUUUAUGAUAUUAAUAAGUUUAUUAUUUAAAUUUUAAAUUAUUUUUAAAAAUUAAUAGAUUUGUUAACAAAUCCAACAUUAAGUUUGAUUUAAUGUGGAGUUAAUUUGUCUAAUAAAAAAAAUCAAAAAUUAACAAUUUCAUGUAAAAGAAAAUAAUAGAGUAUAUGUUUUAUUUUUAUUUUUAAAAAAUUUCGUCCAAUAGGCUUUAGACAGCCAAAAAUGGGUGCGUAGACAUCCUUUCAGCCUUUCUACUUUCUUGAUUGUGUCUUUAUAUGUUUGUCUGUUUUUCCUGGUUUGGAUAGUGUUCACAAUAAUUGUUUUUAUUUUUAUUUUUUUAAGUUUAAAGUAUUUCAGAGUAACCGACCUUGUAAUUUUUUAAGUUUGAAGUAUUGCAGAGAAACCCACUUUUUAUUUGUGUUUAUUUAUUUAUUGGUUUUAAAAUUGCUGACUAAUUUUAAAAAUAAUAAAAUUUAUUUAUUUUAAUGUUAUCAUUGAAUAUACUCUAUUUUAUAUUUAUUGGUUCACGCCUGCACCCCGGGUGACCAUUAGGACAAUUAUGCAUUUUAAUAAAUAACAUGCACCCACAUACACAUAGGAAAAAGUGGGUUUUUGAAAAAACAAACAUAUGAAAAGAGAAGCUCUAACUUUCAGUUAAAGUUGUACGGUUUGAAACCUAUCCUGAUUGAUAGUACAGCCAAAAAUGGGUGCGCAGGGCAGAUGUGAACCACAACCUCUCUCUUUUACUCCAUUUAGGAUAUGUGUUCACCCUUUUAUAUACUUUGUAAGCAAGACUAGUUUAUUUUUUAUUUUUUUGUAGAUGACUUACUGUUGUUGGAUAGAGAUGUAAUUUGCAAUUUUGUGGACAGGAUUCAUCCACAUUUCUCAUCUCAGCCCAAUCCAAACUUAAAUACCCCAAGUUGGAUCAGGACUGCAAUUGCUUAUUUUGACUUGGAUUUGAAUUAACUGCUAUAACCAGCCCAAUUUGCCUCUCAAGGAGGGAUUUAAGCCAUGGCCAGGGGCUUUAGAAUCUUUGGAACCAUAACUAAAUUCAAUUAACCUGAACCCUUAUAUCUUGUUGUACUUAAUUCUGUCUACUCUAGGGCUAGAUUUCUUGAUAAACUAACCUGUUUCAUCCAAUCAACUUCAACAUAACUCACUAACAUGAGUUUAAUUUGAUUUCUUACAGGGUGUUGAUCCAAUGACUUCAAAAGAAUUGAGCGAGAAGCCGUAUGAGGUGAAAAUCUCAUGUGCGGUUCUGUAGAGUGGCAGUAAGGGUGACUUAUUUGUCAACUUUUCCACUAUCACCCCCAAAAAACCAAACUCUGUCUUACGUAAAGUUGUCAGAAUACGAUUAACCUCUGAAUUUGAAAUCACUUCACAGAUACAACCUUUGUAACUUCAUGGUAUACCCAUGAAUUGACUAGUUUCUAUUUGAAAGGUUGCAAUUUCUUAACUGCCAUAGUUUCUACCCUUGCUAAUAGUUUAACACAUUCUUUAUUGUUUCUAUAGGGUCCUGAAGCACAAGGAGAUUUUACUCGUUGAUAUACCAACCUAUUUCAGGGUGUCUUCGAAACAGCUUUGCCGUUUCAGGCUGAUGAUAUUGCAGACCCUAAAUCUAUUAUUGUGAGUAGAGUUUGUUAAGUGCAGCCGUGUAACAACAUUGUUCUUAAAACCUCGGGAUGGAUCACCCAAACGAAGGCUCAUGAUGUUUCACCUACCCUAUCACCAAUUGGUUUCUAGAUAGAAUGGUCGAAACCCGAUCCAAGAGAAUUCAAACCUGAAAAAAAUUCCCAAACUUGAAAUUUGUAUUAACUCCCAAGAAUGAAAUUAUUCUCUCCUGUCUUCUUAAGUUGGACGCCAUCCAUUUCACAUGGAGGAGCAAAGGCCACAAUCAGUGGGCUUUGUUGGUAUUCUUUUACCCCUAAAUAAUGAUGAAGUUUAAAGAGUUUCUCAUUAUGAUCUAGUAUGGGAGCUGAGCGCUUCUUUGGAUCAGGUCUGUUUUGCCUGCCAAAAGCUCAAAAAAAUAAAACGGUAAAGCUAGGUUUGGCUCCCAAAAAUAUUUUAAAAAAUAAAAAUAAAUAAAUAAAUAAUAUAUUUAAAAUAAAAAAAUAAUUUUUAUAUAUUACUUUAAACUUAUUUAACUUAUGUAAUCUUCCAAUAUAAAGAUUAAAUAAUUUAAAAAUAUAUAAUUUUCUUACUGUUAAUUAUAUUCGACUUUCUUUUAUAUUUUCUAUGAUAUGAAAAAAUCAUUUUUCUUAUAUUUAUUUUCACUACUUUCCAUCCUAAAUCUGAUCUAAUACCCUCUAUAGACUAUCUCUUGAGCUAAGAAAAUUAAACUACAAUAUUAGAACACACUGCUCCAAUUUCAACCAAUUUAUAUCAGUUCAAUUAAUAAACAGAUUGGUCAACCAAUUGAUUCAAUUUAUUUUAUAAUUUAGGCAGUAUUCUUUUGAAGAAUUUCAAGCCAGGAUGUUGUCAAUCUUAAGAUUUUAUAAUAUUGACAGUGAUCUUUUCACACAAACUCAAGAUUGACUUUAGAUAACUGAUAACAAGUAAUGGAUAUUGAGACACUGUUCAAAUAUCAGCAGCUUCAGAAGUUGGCAUCUUGAAAAUCACCUUCAUGCAAUAGUCUAAACUUCAAAAUCCUCUGGAGAUCAGCAAUCGGUUUAGGAAACAUGGCCAAAUAGGUCCUAACCGCCUUCUUCAUCCAAACCCGAAGCUAGUAAUUUAUACACGAUUGGAGGAAUGCAGAGUAAACAUGAAAAAUGGGCAGAGCACGUGAUAAAGGGGUGUAGAUGAGAGCACACAUGAUAAUCAUGUUGAGGUAGUUGAGGCAUGCGCACAAGGUAUGGGAUUGCUACAUCUUUUAUAUAUAUACUAGGCCCAGGAAUUUGACUUCAAGUAUAUACUUAGCCUUAGUUUAGGGGUAAUCUUUUUACAUAUGUCAUCAGUUUUGAAAGGAUUCAGACCCCUUCUAUACCUGGCUUAGGAAAGGAGUACGUAGGAAAGACUGAAAGAAAAGAAAAAUCUAUACCCAACUCUGCAUCUAGACCAGGUACAGAAUCAUUAUAAAGGUGUAAAGUAAUCUACCUCAACAAUUUCAAUAUGGGACCAAACAUACCAUGAAUGACCCACCUAGCACUCUAGCAGCAACAUACAAACAGGAGAUAAUGACAGUAUAGAUUGCUCCUGGGCUUGAGAAAUAUUGUCUGUCAAUAUUCCAUUUAACAAAAUUAAGAGACUUAUUAAAUAUACCCAUUUACCAAAAGUGGGUUAUAAUACCUUGAUUUGGAAAUAAAUGUGAAAUAGGAAAUCAUAUUUUAAUAAUCCAAAAUACAUAAUAUCAUUUCAAAAUAUUUCAUAUUGGAUGCACUAAGAGCUUAGGUGUCUUUAAGUUUCAAUAAUACCCUCCCUAACAAUGGUCUGACAAAAGGAAUCACAAAAGAUAAGUGAAUGGAUGGAAAUGGAGUUUUUUUUUUCGUCAGGAAAAAGAGAAAGAAAUUAUGGGAAUGUGGGAGAGUGGACUGAGAAAAUGCCUUGAGAAGCACAGAAAUUCUGAAAAUUGGAAUCGAUUAUCGGGUACUCGCAUUCAAGAGAUUUCAUCGAACCCAUCUCUCUCAGUGUCACGUUCAAGCUUAAGAAAGUGUUGGAUUAAUUCGAGGAAAUCCACAGCCUCCAAUACUCACUGAUUGCAACUGUUUUCAUACCUUUCUCAUUAACAUGAAAGACUUAAAUACAACUGAAAAUAACAACUGACUCAAUCCACGACGCUGAUGCUGAUAUUCAGCUAACAACCCAACCUAAAGACCUAUUCUUAAGCCAAAAUACUUGGCUGUGAAUUAACGGAUGAUGCCCACGUACAAUUAUUGGACCCAAACAAUUAAAUUAAUCAACUCAACAUGACUCUGACUCAACCAAAUUAAAUAAUAAGCAACCAACAAAUUAAAUAAUAAGCAUUACACAACUGGGCCCAAGUGCACAUGACACUCAGCUCCACUACAGAGAGGUCCUCGUGCACGUUUUACCUUAAAGAGUUCUCUUCUAAAAGCUAAAUCAACGUCGUUUGCAUUUUCUGACUGUUUUUUCCCAGUGUUUUCUUCUAAUUUUUGUCUUUAUUUCUCCUCCGUCAAUCCCACAUUCCCAAGAAAAAGAUCAAACAAUAAUCCUCGAUAAUUGCCAAGAAAAAAAAGAUGAAACAUUGAUUUCAUAAAGCAAAAGAAACAUAUCAAGACAAAUCAAUAUGGAUUAAAGGGUAAAAUUAAUGCUCCAGCUUUCCGCUUACUUCUGCCACUCUCCCAGCAACCAAACAGAAAUCCCAAAAACCCAUAACACAAAUUGUGAAAAAAAAAAAAACAAUUGCCCAAGAAACAAUAGCAAGAACGUCACCGACAAUUAGGGUAAAAAUCAGACCAAAUCCAGAACGAAACAAACCGGAAAAGUUUAGAAAAAUUCUGGGGAAUUAAGGAAUGGGAAAGGGGCAAGCAACCCAUAAAAUGAAAGGAAUUACCUAAGGGCAGUAGAAAAAACGAAAAGGAUCUCAAAACAUAACAAAAGAGGAAAAACAAAAUCCUUUUAAGAAAAUUUUGACUAUUAUUUUCUGGGUAACCAAAUGGAAAACCCAAGAGAGAGAGAGAGCGCUUACCUAGGGUUCCGGGUUUUUCAGAGGGUGAGGUGAGAGCCAUUGUCGGCGCCAGUGGAAACCAGAGGGGAGAGGACGAAGGUUACCUCUUAUUUUCUUUUUCUUGAUCAAUUUUUCAUUUUUUUCUGAUACGAAAAAAGGAAAAAAAAUUUACUGGGCGGAGAUGGUGGCCAUAUCCGAUUCCACCGUCCUUCACAAAUCGUAUGAAGAAAAAGAAAAAAGAAGACAAAUUACAACAGAAAUUCGAAGCUCAAGGCCUGCAAAAUUGCAGAUCUAGAAACGCCGAUCUCAACUUUGGUACAAUCAGAAGGUAGAAAUCAACCAAAAGAGAAUAACAGAGAAAAGAAAACUAAGGAAAAUUUUGCAUAUCUGUAUACAUGUUGAGAGAGGGAAAAGAUGGACGCAGCCUCCAAUUCACGGCCAGCAUCACCUUUUCCUUGAUGGAUCUACCUUGCCUACUCAAAUUUUUGGAAGAAAUUCAACCGAACAAGGAAACCCUCAGAUCUCCGGAGGAAGCACUCCCGUCCCCAACUCCAGCUGCCGAGAAAAGGCUCACAGCACCCUUUAUAUAUAUUUGGUUGGGGAAAUAAUCCCAAAGAAAAUAUAAUCCUUCUUUUCAUUUAAAAAAAAAAAAAAAAAAACCAUUUUUUUAUAAAAGCAUGUAUACAUAUUUUUUUAAUACCACGCAUUUCUGGCGCGUUGAAAUCACUUGCGUAAUUGAUCAUACGAGACAACAAAACAAAUUUGAAAC
Molecule: long non-coding RNA, 6752 nt
Filed under: Vitis vinifera (wine grape)
Lineage: Eukaryota; Viridiplantae; Streptophyta; Magnoliopsida; Vitales; Vitaceae
Source: RNAcentral